Molecule: ribosomal RNA, 253 nt
Filed under: uncultured bacterium
Lineage: Bacteria
Description: partial 16S ribosomal RNA
Rfam family: Bacterial small subunit ribosomal RNA
Source: RNAcentral
UACGUAUGGUGCAAGCGUUAUCCGGAUUUACUGGGUGUAAAGGGAGCGCAGGCGGCACGGCAAGCCUGGUGUGAAAGCCCGCGACCCAACCGCGGGACUGCAUUGGGAACUACCGGGCUGGAGUGCCGGAGAGGUAGGCGGAAUUCCUAGUGUAGCGGUGAAAUGCGUAGAUAUUAGGAGGAACACCAGUGGCGAAGGCGGCCUACUGGACGGUGACUGACGCUGAGGCUCGAAAGCGUGGGGAGCAAACAGG